This 840-nucleotide ribosomal RNA is filed under the name Candidatus Cloacimonadota bacterium. Its description in RNAcentral is "partial 23S ribosomal RNA". It matches the Rfam family "Bacterial large subunit ribosomal RNA", at positions 2323 to 2925 of the family's 2925-position model. The record is from RNAcentral. Lineage: Bacteria; Pseudomonadati; Candidatus Cloacimonadota.
UGCCUUGUGCGUAGCACAAGGACUGAGGAACCAAACAACUGAGCGACUAAGUUUCUUAGUUCUCGCGCUGCGCGCGAGGUUGUAUGUGGGAGCGCCGGAGCUUAACGGAUAAAAGUUACCCCGGGGAUAACAGGCUAGUCGCGCCCGAGCGUCCAUAGCGACGGCGCGGUUCGGCACCUCGAUGUUGGCUCACCGCAUCCUGGGGGCGUAGAAGUUCCCAAGGGUUGGUCUGUUCGCCCAUUAAAGCGGUGCGUUAGCUGAGUUCAGACCGUCGCAAGACAGGUCGGUCUCUAUCCGGUGCAGGCUUCACCCCGGUAGAUGGUUACCAUCUAACGGGGCAGGACCUGAGGGGGCCCUUCUUCAGUACGAGAGGACCAAGAAGGACAAACCUCUAGUGUACCAGUUAUCGGAGAUUAGAGUUCAGAAGUUAGGGUCGGAGAAAUAAAGUUUCCCUCCGAUUUCCAAUUUCUGACUUCUGACCUCCGGUAUUGCUGGGUAGCUACGUUUGGAAAUGUCGCUUUCGCGACGGAGGUCGGAGAUCAGAGUUCAGAAGUCAGUGUGGGGCUUGACGGUGUUCGCCGUCUUUUCCUAUCUGAUUUCCGAUUUCCGAUCUCUGACUUCCGAAGCGUAGCGAUUGGAUAAGCGCUGAAAGCAUCUAAGCGCGAAGCCAUCCCCAAGAUAGGUUUUAGACCCGUGGGAGAAUACCACGUAACGCCUUGUGCUUCGCACGAGGACUUAAGUUUCUUAGUUCUCGUGCGGAGCGCGAGGUUAUAGGCGGUAGAUGUAAGCGCGGCAACGCGUUCAGUCAAGCCGUACUAAUCAGUCGCAAACGCUUUGUAA